RNAcentral lists this ribosomal RNA (253 nucleotides) under uncultured bacterium. RNAcentral describes it as "partial 16S ribosomal RNA". It matches the Rfam family "Bacterial small subunit ribosomal RNA", at positions 524 to 776 of the family's 1533-position model. The record is from RNAcentral.
UACGUAGGGGGCAAGCGUUGUCCGGAUUUACUGGGCGUAAAGAGCGCGCAGGCGGUUGAUUAAGUCGAAUGUGAAAGCCCCCGGCUCAACUGGGGAGGGUCAUUCGAUACUGAUCGACUUGAAGGCAGGAGAGGGAAGUGGAAUUCCGGGUGUAGUGGUGAAAUGCGUAGAUAUCCGGAGGAACACCAGUGGCGAAGGCGACUGCCUGGCCUGUUCUUGACGCUGAGGCGCGAAAGCGGGGGGAGCAAACGGG